CAGCGUCACGAGUGGCAACCAGAUUUAUUGGGCCUAAAGCGUCCGUAGCCGGUUUUAUAAGUCUUUUGUGAAAUCGUUGCGCUCAACGUAACGUUGUGCAAGAGAUACUGUAAGACUAGGAAUUGGGAAGAGUUAGAGGUAUUCUGGGGGGAGCGGUAAAAUGCUAUAAUCCCUGGAGGACCACCAGUGGCGAAAGCGUCUAACUAGAACAACUUCGACGGUGAGGGACGAAAGCCAGGGGAGCAAAACGGAUUAGAUACCCGAGUAGUCC
RNAcentral lists this ribosomal RNA (271 nucleotides) under uncultured archaeon. RNAcentral describes it as "partial 16S ribosomal RNA". It matches the Rfam family "Archaeal small subunit ribosomal RNA", at positions 477 to 747 of the family's 1478-position model. The record is from RNAcentral.